This 214-nucleotide ribosomal RNA is filed under the name uncultured Anoxybacillus sp. RNAcentral's name for it is "partial 16S ribosomal RNA". It matches the Rfam family "Bacterial small subunit ribosomal RNA", at positions 1170 to 1382 of the family's 1533-position model. Lineage: Bacteria; Bacillati; Bacillota; Bacilli; Caryophanales; Anoxybacillaceae. The record is from RNAcentral.
AAGGUCGGGAUGACGUCAAAUCAUCAUGCCCCUUAUGACCUGGGCUACACACGUGCUACAAUGGGCGGUACAAAGGGUCGCGAAACCCGCACGGGGGAGCCAAUCCCAAAAAGCCGCUCUCAGUUCGGAUUGCAGGCUGCAACUCGCCUGCAUGAAGCCGGAAUCGCUAGUAAUCGCGGAUCAGCAUGCCGCGGUGAAUACGUUCCCGGGCCUU